CAUGCAAGUCGAACGGCAGCAUGAUCUAGCUUGCUAGAUUGAUGGCGAGUGGCGAACGGGUGAGUAAUACAUCGGAACGUGCCCUGUAGUGGGGGAUAACUAGUCGAAAGAUUAGCUAAUACCGCAUACGACCUGAGGGUGAAAGUGGGGGACCGCAAGGCCUCAUGCUAUAGGAGCGGCCGAUGUCUGAUUAGCUAGUUGGUGGGGUAAAGGCCCACCAAGGCGACGAUCAGUAGCUGGUCUGAGAGGACGAUCAGCCACACUGGGACUGAGACACGGCCCAGACUCCUACGGGAGGCAGCAGUGGGGAAUUUUGGACAAUGGGCGAAAGCCUGAUCCAGCAAUGCCGCGUGUGUGAAGAAGGCCUUCGGGUUGUAAAGCACUUUUGUCCGGAAAGAAAUGGCUCUGGUUAAUACCUGGGGUCGAUGACGGUACCGGAAGAAUAAGGACCGGCUAACUACGUGCCAGCAGCCGCGGUAAUACGUAGGGUCCAAGCGUUAAUCGGAAUUACUGGGCGUAAAGCGUGCGCAGGCGGUUGUGCAAGACCGAUGUGAAAUCCCCGAGCUUAACUUGGGAAUUGCAUUGGUGACUGCACGGCUAGAGUGUGUCAGAGGGGGGUAGAAUUCCACGUGUAGCAGUGAAAUGCGUAGAGAUGUGGAGGAAUACCGAUGGCGAAGGCGGCCCCCUGGGAUAACACUGACGCUCAUGCACGAAAGCGUGGGGGAGCAAACAGGAUUAGAUACCCUGGUAGUNCCACGCCCUAAACGAUGUCAACUAGUUGUUGGGGAUUCAUUUCCUUAGUAACGUAGCUAACGCGUGAAGUUGACCGCCUGGGGAGUACGGUCGCAAGAUUAAAACUCAAAGGAAUUGACGGGGACCCGCACAAGCGGUGGAUGAUGUGGAUUAAUUCGAUGCAACGCGAAAAACCUUACCUACCCUUGACAUGCCACUAACGAAGCAGAGAUGCAUUAGGUGCUCGAAAGAGAAAGUGGACACAGGUGCUGCAUGGCUGUCGUCAGCUCGUGUCGUGAGAUGUUGGGUUAAGUCCCGCAACGAGCGCAACCCUUGUCUCUAGUUGCUACGAAAGGGCACUCUAGAGAGACUGCCGGUGACAAACCGGAGGAAGGUGGGGAUGACGUCAAGUCCUCAUGGCCCUUAUGGGUAGGGCUUCACACGUCAUACAAUGGUGCAUACAGAGGGUUGCCAAGCCGCGAGGUGGAGCUAAUCCCAGAAAAUGCAUCGUAGUCCGGAUCGUAGUCUGCAACUCGACUACGUGAAGCUGGAAUCGCUAGUAAUCGCGGAUCAGCAUGCCGCGGUGAAUACGUUCCCGGGUCUUGUACACACCGCCCGUCACACCAUGGGAGUGGGCUUUACCAGAAGUAGUUAGCCUAACCGCAAGGAGGGCG
This 1406-nucleotide ribosomal RNA is filed under the name uncultured bacterium. Its description in RNAcentral is "bacterial SSU rRNA". It matches the Rfam family "Bacterial small subunit ribosomal RNA". The record is from RNAcentral.